Molecule: ribosomal RNA, 752 nt
Filed under: uncultured archaeon
Lineage: Archaea
Description: bacterial SSU rRNA
Rfam family: Archaeal small subunit ribosomal RNA
Source: RNAcentral
UCGAACGACCCGGACUAUGGCGGGGAGUGGCAGACUGCUCAGUAACACGUAGCUAAUCUACCCUCGGGACGGGGAUAACCCCGGGAAACUGGGGCUAAUACCCGAUAGGUAUGGAUUCCUGGAAUGGUGCCAUGCCUAAACGUAAGCACAUCCAUGUUUGUGUGCACGCCCGAGGAUGGGGCUGCGGCCGAUCAGGCAGUUGGUGAGGUAACGGCUCACCAAACCUUUGACCGGUACGGGCCAUGAGAGUGGUAGCCCGGAGAUGGGCACUGAGACAAGGGCCCAGGCCCUACGGGGCGCAGCAGGCGCGAAACCUCCACAAUUCACGCAAGUGAGAUGGGGUUACCUCGAGUGCCAUCUGAAGAAGGUGGCUUUUCCAUGGUGUAAUGAGCCGUGGGAAUAAGGGGGGGGCAAGACUGGUGUCAGCCGCCGCGGUAACACCAGCCCCCCGAGUGGUGGGGAUGAUUAUUUGGCCUAAAGCGUCCGUAGCCAGCUCGGUAAAUCUCUCGUUAAAUCCAGCGUCCUAAGCGUUGGGCUGCGAGGGAAACUGCCGAACUAGAGGGUGGGAGAGGUCAGCGGUAUUCCUGGGGUAGGGGCGAAAUCCAUUGAUCCCAGGAGGACCACCAGUGGCGAAGGCUGCUGACUAGAACACGCCUGACGGUGAGGGACGAAAGCUGGGGUAGCGAAUCGGAUUAGAUACCCGAGUAGUCCCAGCCGUAAACGAUGCAGGCUAGGUGUUGGGUCGGCCAUGC